Molecule: long non-coding RNA, 308 nt
Organism: Sander lucioperca (pikeperch)
Lineage: Eukaryota; Metazoa; Chordata; Actinopteri; Perciformes; Percidae
Exons: 2
Source: RefSeq, a predicted model, not a curated record
GCUAACCAUGCACUUUUAACCUACACUUGUUAGAUAAUGUUUCAUAACAGGGUUCUUUGUUGAUUUGGGUUUGUUGCUGUGUGCUUGUGGUUUCAAAAUAAAUGUGAACAAAGCGGUGUGCCAGAACUGCAAUGCGCCAUGACCUAGUUGACCCUUUUAGGCUAAUGUUGGAAAUCCCUCUAGUGGACAGAACGUAUAACAACCACAUGCUGAUAGUAGCAUUGGCAAUGCAUUAGUCUUGCAAUGCCAGACCUCCACAGCGCGGCGGAGGAGGGUCUGGCUAGUCCACACAGCAUUCCGGGAUGGGA